GAUGAACGCUGGCGGCGUGCCUAAUACAUGCAAGUCGAGCGAACAGACGCGGAGCUUGCUCCUUUGACGUUAGCGGCGGACGGGUGAGUAACACGUGGGUCACCUACCUAUAAGACUGGGAUAACUUCGGGAAACCGGAGCUAAUACCGGAUAAUAUUUUGAACCGUAUGGUUCGAUAGUGAAAGAUGGCUUUGCUAUCACUUAUAGAGGGACCUGCGCCGUAUUAGCUAGUUGGUAAGGUAACGGCUUACCAAGGCAACGAUACGUAGCCGACCUGAGAGGGUGAUCGGCCACACUGGAACUGAGACACGGUCAAGACGCCUACGGGAGGCAGCAGUAGGGAAUCUUCCGCAAUGGGCGAAAGCCUGACGGAGCAACGCCGCGUGAGUGAUGAAGGUCUUCGGAUCGUAAAACUCUGUUAUUAGGGAAGAACAAACGUGUAAGUAACUGUGCACGUCUUGACGGUACCUAAUCAGAAAGCCACGGCUAACUACGUG
RNAcentral lists this ribosomal RNA (497 nucleotides) under uncultured bacterium. RNAcentral describes it as "partial 16S ribosomal RNA". It matches the Rfam family "Bacterial small subunit ribosomal RNA", at positions 28 to 507 of the family's 1533-position model. The record is from RNAcentral.